AAGCGGAGGAAAAGAAACCAACUGGGAUUGCCUUAGUAACGGCGAGUGAAGCGGCAAAAGCUCAAAUUUGAAAUCCCUAGGGAGUUGUAAUUUGUAGGCUGGGAGCAGGCAGUACCGAAAAGAAAAAGUCCCUUGGAACAGGGCGCCUUGGAGGGUGAGAGCCCCGUAUUUCUGGACCGGUUCUGUUUUUCCCACGCCAAAGAGUCGAGUUGUUUGGGAAUGCAGCUCAAAGUGGGUGGUAAAUUCCAUCUAAAGCUAAAUAUUGGCGAGAGACCGAUAGCGAACAAGUACCGUGAGGGAAAGAUGAAAAGCACUUUGAAAAGAGAGUGAAACAGUACGUGAAAUUGUUGAAAGGGAAGGGCUUGCAAGCAGACACUUUUUUGGGCCAGCAUCAGUUGAAGGGGAUGGAGAAACAGCGAGGAAUGUAGCUUUCGAGUAUUAUAUCCUUGCUUCAUACAUCCUCCUUCGUCUGAGGCCUGCUUUUAUUAUAGGAUGCUGGCGUAAUGGUUGCAAGCCGCCCGUCUUGAA
Molecule: ribosomal RNA, 528 nt
Filed under: Sungouiella ecuadorensis
Lineage: Eukaryota; Fungi; Ascomycota; Pichiomycetes; Serinales; Metschnikowiaceae
Description: eukaryotic LSU rRNA
Rfam family: Eukaryotic large subunit ribosomal RNA
Source: RNAcentral